This 255-nucleotide ribosomal RNA is filed under the name uncultured bacterium. RNAcentral describes it as "partial 16S ribosomal RNA". It matches the Rfam family "Bacterial small subunit ribosomal RNA", at positions 102 to 353 of the family's 1533-position model. The record is from RNAcentral.
ACGGGUGAGUAACGCGUGAGUAACCUGCCUUCAAGAGGGGGAGUAACAUUCUGAAAAGAAUGCUAAUACCGCAUGACAUAUCGGAACCACAUGGUUUUGAUAUCAAAGAUUUUAUCGCUUGAAGAUGGACUCGCGUCCGAUUAGUUAGUUGGUGAGGUAACGGCUCACCAAGACCGCGAUCGGUAGCCGGACUGAGAGGUUGAACGGCCACAUUGGGACUGAGACACGGCCCAGACUCCUACGGGAGGCAGCAUG